RNAcentral lists this unclassified non-coding RNA (240 nucleotides) under soil metagenome. RNAcentral's name for it is "partial contains 5.8S ribosomal RNA, internal transcribed spacer 2, and large subunit ribosomal RNA". The record is from RNAcentral.
AACAUCGCGCACCUGCGGGAACCUGCGGAAGGAUCAUUACCGAGUUUACAAACUCCCAAACCCUUUGUGAACCUUACCUAUCGUUGCUUCGGCGGGAUCGCCCCGGGCCGGCCCUUCACGGGGCCUCCGGAACCAGGCGCCCGCCGGAGAACCCAAACUCUUUGUUUUUAUGGUUUUCUCCUCUGAGUGGAUUAUAAACAAAUAAAUCAAAACUUUCAACAACGGAUCUCAGAUCGGAAG